This 274-nucleotide small RNA is filed under the name Pongo abelii (Sumatran orangutan). Its description in RNAcentral is "Metazoan signal recognition particle RNA (ENSPPYG00000039299.1)". The record is from Rfam by way of RNAcentral. Lineage: Eukaryota; Metazoa; Chordata; Mammalia; Primates; Hominidae.
GUCAGGCAUGGUGGUGCGUGCCUGUAGUCCCAGCUACUCAGAAGGCUGAGGCAGGAGAAUUGCUCGAACCUGGGAGGCAGAAGUUGCAGUGAGCCAAGAUCGCGCCAUUGCACUCUAGCCUGGGAGACAGGAGCGAGACUCCAUCACAAAACAAAACAACCUUCUUUUUUUUGAGAUGGAAUUUCACACUUGUUUUCCAGGCUGGAGUGCAAUGGCGCGAUUUCAGCUCACUGCAACCUCUGCAUCCCGGGUUCAAGAGAUUCUCCUGUCUCAG